This 62-nucleotide microRNA precursor is filed under the name Echinops telfairi (small Madagascar hedgehog). Its description in RNAcentral is "Ete-Mir-181-P1a_pre stem-loop". It matches the Rfam family "mir-181 microRNA precursor family", at positions 12 to 73 of the family's 83-position model. Rfam says of the family: In this case the mature sequence comes from the 5' arm of the precursor. The extents of the hairpin precursors are not generally known and are estimated based on hairpin prediction. Lineage: Eukaryota; Metazoa; Chordata; Mammalia; Afrosoricida; Tenrecidae. The record is from RNAcentral.
AACAUUCAACGCUGUCGGUGAGUUUGGAAUUAAGAUCAAAACCAUUGACCGUUGAUUGUACC